GUCUACGGCUAUACCACCCUGAACACACCCGAUCUCCUCUGAUCUCGGAAGCUAAGCAGGGUCAGGCCUGGUUAGUACUUGGUUGAGAAAUAAGUUCUCUAGACC
This is a ribosomal RNA of Erinaceus europaeus (western European hedgehog), 105 nucleotides long. The record is from Ensembl. NCBI's taxonomy places the organism in Eukaryota, Metazoa, Chordata, Mammalia, Eulipotyphla, Erinaceidae.